ACCCAGCUGAUGAGUCUCAACUAAGAUGAAAUAUGCGUCCUGGAU
This 45-nucleotide non-coding RNA is filed under the name Schistosoma haematobium. Lineage: Eukaryota; Metazoa; Platyhelminthes; Trematoda; Strigeidida; Schistosomatidae. The record is from RNAcentral.